Molecule: ribosomal RNA, 253 nt
Filed under: uncultured bacterium
Lineage: Bacteria
Description: partial 16S ribosomal RNA
Rfam family: Bacterial small subunit ribosomal RNA
Source: RNAcentral
UACGUAGGGGGCAAGCGUUGUCCGGAUUUAUUGGGCGUAAAGAGCGUGUAGGCGGCUAGAUAGGUCCGUUGUGAAAACUCGAGGCUCAACCUCGAGACGUCGAUGGAAACCAUCUGGCUAGAGUCCGGAAGAGGAGAGUGGAAUUCCUGGUGUAGCGGUGAAAUGCGCAGAUAUCAGGAGGAACACCGGUGGCGAAGGCGGAUCUCUGGGCCAUUACUGACGCUGAGGAGCGAAAGCGUGGGGAGCGAACAGG